Schistosoma haematobium is the source of this 77-nucleotide non-coding RNA. The record is from Rfam. NCBI's taxonomy places the organism in Eukaryota, Metazoa, Platyhelminthes, Trematoda, Strigeidida, Schistosomatidae.
AGCUCUUGAAUCUGUGUAGAGAUUUCGUCAAACACAAACCCACUAGGACUGAUCACACUCUCAAGAUGAGUGAAGUU